Molecule: long non-coding RNA, 301 nt
Organism: Larimichthys crocea (large yellow croaker)
Lineage: Eukaryota; Metazoa; Chordata; Actinopteri; Sciaenidae
Exons: 3
Source: RefSeq, a predicted model, not a curated record
UAAAAUAGGGCUACUUGAUAUUCAAACUUAUUUAAACUAAAACCUGCAUAAUUGCACCUGGCAAGGUAUGUGCACUGUCAACCUGAACUCCAAGCUUCUAAUGUGAGCUCAUGCCUCCAGGAGACAUCUGCGUCGAGAAGCUACUGAGUUCGGAGCCAAGCAGGUCACAUAAGGGUCAACUUCAUAUCACAAGACAGAAAACUGUUGCCAGAAAGAAGAGGCAGGGAUCAAAACUACCAUCAUCAAGAGACUGAAUGUGGUGUUUGAAGCCUCGGCAGCUUUUACAGCUUGCCCUCCGCAG